UGGCGGACGGGUGAGUAACGCGUAGGUAUCUAUCCUUGGGUGGGGGACAACGGCUGGAAACGGCUGCUAAUACCGCAUGAUAACUGAGGUUUAAAGGCGCAAGUCGCCUGGGGAGGAGCCUGCGUACGAUUAGCUAGUUGGUGGGGUAAAGGCCUACCAAGGCGACGAUCGUUAGCUGGUCUGAGAGGAUGAUCAGCCACAUUGGGACUGAGACACGGCCCAA
RNAcentral lists this ribosomal RNA (223 nucleotides) under uncultured bacterium. Its description in RNAcentral is "partial 16S ribosomal RNA". It matches the Rfam family "Bacterial small subunit ribosomal RNA", at positions 96 to 334 of the family's 1533-position model. The record is from RNAcentral.